RNAcentral lists this unclassified non-coding RNA (76 nucleotides) under Pseudomonas synxantha. The record is from RNAcentral. Lineage: Bacteria; Pseudomonadati; Pseudomonadota; Gammaproteobacteria; Pseudomonadales; Pseudomonadaceae.
UUCGACUUGCUCCCGAUGGCGGUGUGUCAGUCACUGAAUGUGCUGACUGACACACCGCCAUCGGGAGCAAGCCCCC